CAGCCGCCGCGGUAAUACAGAGGGUGCGAGCGUUAAUCGGAUUUACUGGGCGUAAAGCGUGCGUAGGCGGCUUCUUAAGUCGGAUGUGAAAUCCCUGAGCUUAACUUAGGAAUUGCAUUCGAUACUAAGAAGCUAGAGUAUGGGAGAGGAUGGUAGAAUUCCAGGUGUAGCGGUGAAAUGCGUAGAGAUCUGGAGGAAUACCGAUGGCGAAGGCAGCCAUCUGGCCUAAUACUGACGCUGAGGUACGAAAGCAUGGGGAGCAAACAGGAUUAGAUACCCCAGUAGUCCCUGUCUCUUAUAC
This 301-nucleotide ribosomal RNA is filed under the name uncultured bacterium. Its description in RNAcentral is "partial 16S ribosomal RNA". It matches the Rfam family "Bacterial small subunit ribosomal RNA", at positions 509 to 807 of the family's 1533-position model. The record is from RNAcentral.